Molecule: ribosomal RNA, 508 nt
Filed under: uncultured bacterium
Lineage: Bacteria
Description: bacterial SSU rRNA
Rfam family: Bacterial small subunit ribosomal RNA
Source: RNAcentral
GAUGAACGCUAGCGGCAGGCUUAACACAUGCAAGUCGAGGGGCAGCACGUCUUCGGAUGGUGGCGACCGGCGCACGGGUGAGUAACGCGUAUGCAAUCUACCUUUUACAGGGGCAUAGCCCGGGGAAACCCGGAUUAAUAUCCUAUAGUACCAUUAUAUAGCAUUAUAUUAUGGUUAAAGUUUCGGCGGUAAAAGAUGAGCAUGCGUCCUAUUAGCUUGAUGGUAAGGUAACGGCUUACCAUGGCUAUGAUAGGUAGGGGUCCUGAGAGGGAGACCCCCCACACUGGUACUGAGACACGGACCAGACUCCUACGGGAGGCAGCAGUGAGGAAUAUUGGACAAUGGGCGCAAGCCUGAUCCAGCCAUGCCGCGUGCAGGAAGACGGCCCUAUGGGUUGUAAACUGCUUUUAUACGGGAAGAAACACCCCUUCGUGAAGGGACUUGACGGUACCGUAUGAAUAAGGAUCGGCUAACUCCGUGCUAGCAGCCGCGGUAAUACGGAGGAUCC